Molecule: long non-coding RNA, 488 nt
Filed under: Linum usitatissimum (flax)
Lineage: Eukaryota; Viridiplantae; Streptophyta; Magnoliopsida; Malpighiales; Linaceae
Description: long non-coding RNA (LUSI_LNC003397)
Source: RNAcentral
CCAUCAACCACUCAACACAUUCAAUUAUUAUAUAUUAAACCUUUAAAAAUUAAUCUUAACAAAACAAUAAAAGAGAGAGAAAUGGAGAAGGUUUUGAGUUCAUGUUUUAUUAUUGUCUUCUUAGUUCUCGCUUCUGGUACGUUGUAGCUAAUUGAUAUUUUAUAAGUACCAUUGUAAAUAGUUUUUAAUAUUAGAUUGUUUGCAGGUGUGACAGCGAGCAUGGGAGAAUUAGAAGGGAAAACGGAUGGCAUAAUUCCAAAAUGCAAAUGUCCUCCUUCACCAUGUCAUUGCUUUUAUGGAAUCUGCUUAUGCCCAGCGGGGCCAAGGCUGCCGGUGCCGGAGUCGCAAACAACGCAUUCUUAAACCUUAUUAAUCGUAUACAAGGGAUUAUUGGUUACAAGUUUUUCUUUUAUUAUGCUUCUUUUUAGUUUGUUACUCAAUGAUUAUUAUAAAUUAAUAAUAAUAACAAUUUAAUAUAUGUGGAUGCU